GUCCUGCGGAUGCAGGAGGCGAACGGGGCAGCGCGGCGCGUUCCGCUCCAGCAGCGGCCCGCAGCCCCGGCGCCCCUCACCGCUGAGGGGCUGCCCUCGCCCCUCUGCCCCCCUUCCCACCCCCCUCCUCGGCCAGGCCUCGCUCCCCGGCGCGGGGCCCCCUCGUUCCCCCUCCGCCGCGCGCGGCCCCCGCAGCCCGCCGGCGGCAGCUGCCUCGCCUCGCGCACCUGGGCGCCAGGUGAGGGCGGGGCCGCGCGCAGGCGCAGGGCCACCCGCCCGCGCGCACCUGGCUGCCGCCGAGCGGAAGGCGCCGCCGCCGCUGCAGCCUCAGCCCCAGCAGCCUCAGCCCCAGCUGCCGCUGCAACCUCCUCGCGCCGUGGGCGGCCUCCGGCCGGGCGGGCGCGGUGUGGAGCGGAGCGUCGCGUGCUCCCCUCACCGGCAGCCGCGCAGCAUCUGCCUCCCGCCGGACAAGGUAUUAUAAUUUCAAGAAAUGCUGUGACCUACUUGAAGAACAUCAUUCACAGGAACUUUUGUGAUAAUUAUUUAAAACUAGAAUGGCUUUGAAAAAAACACCUAAACUAUUCAAGAAAUUUUUUUUUCACUGGAAACUUUGGAAGUUUAGCAUCAUUGUAUUUGUCUUUCUGGUAUUUUUAUUUUUAUUACAAAAAGAAGUGGGUGUUCAAGAUUUUAAAGAUGAAGCAGGGAUUGAGCCAGUUGUUGGAAAGAAAAGUCACGUGUUAGGUCUUGUGUUAAAUGCUAUGAACAAUAUCAAAGGUGCAAAGCCAAAAAUGCAGAUAAAAGCACCUGUUAGGCAAACUAAGAUUCCUGGAGAGAGACACUGUUUGCCAGGAUACUACACUGCAGUGGAACUAAAACCCUUUCUAGAUCGGCCCCUUCAAGAUCCUAAUGCACCUGGAGCUUCUGGUAAAGCAUUUAAAACCAUCAGCUUAAAUUCAGAAGAACAGAAAGAAAAACAGCGUGGAGAAGAAAAACACUGUUUUAAUGCAUUUGCAAGUGAUAGGAUUUCUUUGCACCGAGAUCUUGGACCAGACACUCGACCUCCUGAAUGUAUUGAACAAAAGUUUAAGCGCUGCCCACCGUUGCCAACCACAAGUAUUGUAAUAGUUUUUCAUAAUGAGGCAUGGUCCACUCUUCUCAGAACUGUUCACAGUGUGAUGUAUACAUCUCCUGCAAUACUGCUAAAGGAGAUUAUUUUGGUGGAUGAUGCCAGCGUAGAUGAAUACUUGCAUGAUAAACUAGAUGAAUAUGUGAAACAAUUUCAAAUAGUUAAAGUAGUCCGUCAAAAGGAAAGAAAAGGUCUAAUCACUGCACGGUUGUUGGGAGCUUCGGUAGCAACAGGAGAGACCCUUACCUUUCUGGAUGCUCAUUGUGAAUGCUUCUAUGGCUGGUUGGAGCCAUUACUGGCAAGAAUAGCUGAGAACCCUGUAGCUGUUGUAAGCCCUGAUAUUGCUUCUAUAGAUCUCAACACUUUCGAAUUCAGUAAACCAUCUCCUUACGGGCAUAGCCACAACAGAGGAAAUUUUGAUUGGAGCUUGUCAUUUGGAUGGGAGUCUCUUCCUAAACAUGAAAAUAAAAGAAGAAAAGAUGAAACCUAUCCAAUUAGAACACCUACUUUUGCUGGAGGUCUCUUUUCAAUAUCAAAAGACUACUUCGAGCACAUUGGAAGCUAUGAUGAAGAAAUGGAAAUAUGGGGAGGUGAAAAUAUAGAAAUGUCUUUCAGAGUAUGGCAAUGUGGUGGACAGUUGGAGAUCAUGCCUUGCUCUGUUGUUGGCCAUGUCUUUCGCAGCAAGAGUCCCCAUACUUUCCCAAAAGGUACUCAAGUGAUCACACGUAAUCAAGUCCGCCUUGCAGAAGUGUGGAUGGAUGAAUAUAAAGAAAUAUUUUACCGAAGAAACACAGAGGCAGCAAAAAUUGUGAAACAAAAAACAUUUGGAGACAUCUCAAAAAGACUUGACUUAAGGCAGCGUCUACAGUGUAAAAAUUUUACCUGGUAUCUCAGUAAUAUUUAUCCAGAAGCAUAUGUGCCAGACCUGAAUCCUUUGUUUUCUGGAUAUUUAAAAAAUCUAGGUAACCGCAUGUGUCUGGAUGUUGGUGAAAAUAACCAUGGUGGCAAACCAUUGAUUAUGUAUUCUUGUCAUGGACUUGGAGGAAAUCAGGACUCGCACUGUCAAAGAAGAUGUUGGUGGGAAUCCAGCCAAUGGGAGAUCAAGUGGCCAGGCCUGAGCCACCUUCCCUGUCACGCUUGCAGCCUCAUAGUGGGAGGUCAAAGUGGCCUAUCCUGUACUGGCUAAUGCAAGUGAAUAAUAUGAUUGAAUUUGUCCGAGAAGAGCUCUCUUUGAUGCAUAGCUCUUGGAGGCAGCAAUGGUGCUCUGUUUCUUCUACAGUAUGACUUGCAAUAAAUAUCAGAUACUGAAUCCUUCAGUCACUACUGUAACAGUAGUAAAAGUAACAUCUCAUCUCCUUCCUUGCCCAGAAAUGAAUGCUUCUCUGUUGCCUUAAAGAGUUAUUUGUACUUUGAAUAUUCUGCACACCAUGAAAUUCGACAUAACAUUCAGAAGGAGCUUUGCCUAUAUGCUUCUAAAGGACCUGUGCAGCUUCAUGAAUGUAACUACAAAGGCCAGAAAACCUUUGCUGUUGGAGAAGAGCAAUGGCUGCAUCAAAAGGAUCAAACUCUGUACAAUGCAGCACUACAUAUGUGCCUUACAGGAAAUGGAGAGCAUCCGAGUUUGGCAUCCUGUAAUCCAUCAGACCCCUUCCAGAAAUGGAUCUUUGGCCAGACCAAUUAAGACUUGAUAUUUAUGGGCAGGAGCAUUUUAUUAAAAGAUCCGUUCUAAACUGUGAUUCAUAUAUGUAUACUGCAUUUUUAAGUGAUGCAAAAUGUUUAAACAGUUUCUUUUCCCUCUUAUUUAAGUUGGAUAUGAAAUGUGUCAUCACAGAUUCCCCAGGAGUCUGUUAUACCAAAGAUGAUGAGAUCCCAAUUAAGAAAAAUGUUUACAAUAUUUCUAUGAUAAGACUUUAUAUAUUGACCACUGAUUAUGGAUUCUAUUAGUCCUUUUUCACCCUUGGGACCAUAGGUAUAUUGUUUUUCUACAUAUUGUGAGUACUUCUGAGGAAGACUAGUUUUCUCUGUAGAGUUAUGAGAAAUUAUUGAAUACUGCUUAAAAACCAAGACACUUUAUGUAUAUUUUUAUGCUUAAUUGAUUAACUUUUUUUUUUUUUCCCCUUUAAUCAUUUACUCAGUGAACCUUUCUCAGUGUUUUUUAUGCUCCUUCACUUGAAAAUUAAAUAUUUCACCUUCAGGUUAAAGCCAAAUAGGCUACCACACUGUGCUCAGCUUUUAGCAAGUCAAUUCUUCAUUUGUAGAAGAAAAUAACAAUUCUCAAUGAAAUAUGUAUGAUUAUUUUCAUGGAGAAUUUGCUUAUUCUGAUAUUAAUCUCUUUUUGUUUAGCCAAAAUGUUUUGUAUAGGUCCUUUUGUAUUUCAUAAACUUUAAAAUUUAUGAAAAAGUUAUAUUGUAAUAGAUUUCUGAGCUGCUUAAGAUAAACACAUUUUCUCAGCA
Molecule: RNA transcript, 3579 nt
Organism: Strigops habroptila (Kakapo)
Lineage: Eukaryota; Metazoa; Chordata; Aves; Psittaciformes; Psittacidae
Gene: GALNT3
Gene name: polypeptide N-acetylgalactosaminyltransferase 3
Exons: 12
Source: RefSeq, a predicted model, not a curated record